The sequence is a regulatory RNA element, 178 nucleotides long. It matches the Rfam family "Lysine riboswitch aptamer". From Rfam's summary of the family: Riboswitches are metabolite binding domains within certain messenger RNAs that serve as precision sensors for their corresponding targets. Allosteric rearrangement of mRNA structure is mediated by ligand binding, and this results in modulation of gene expression. The record is from Rfam.
UCAUAGAGUAGAGGUUGCGUUAAUCAUGAGUAGAUAAGCCGGAUGUGGCAGGCACAGGCGAUGGCUUAGGGAAAGGGAGAAACGCCGAAGAGGAAGCGUUCCUUGUUCACGCCCCCUCUGGGCAUAUGGUUAAGAGCCGUAUGACUGUCAUCCGGGUGGAUGGAGAGCUACCAAAGAA